CUCCUCCCUUUGGCCGGCCGCAGGUUGGUGGCGGGAGUAGGGGACAGCUGAGAGCGCGGGGAGGGGGCGCUCUGCGCGGGUUCAUGGCCGAACCCGGAAGCCGGGAGCCUGAGACUGGGGCCUGCAGCUCCAGUGUCGCCCGCCGCCGCCAUGGCCUCGCAGCAGCUCUUCCGCGCGCUCGUGUCGGCGCAGUGGGUGGCCGAAGCGCUCCGGGCCCCGCGGGCCGGGCAGCCCCUGCAGCUGCUCGACGCCUCCUGGUACCUGCCCAAGCUGGGCCGCGACGCACACCGCGAGUUCGAGGAGCGCCACAUCCCAGGCUCUGCCUUCUUUGACAUCGACCAGUGCAGCGACCGCACGUCGCCCUACGACCACAUGCUGCCCAGGGCUGCGCACUUCGCCGAGUACGCGGGCCGCCUGGGCGUGAGCGCCUCUACGCACGUCGUGGUCUACGACGCCAGCGACCAGGGCCUCUACGCGGCGCCGCGCGUCUGGUGGAUGUUCCGCGCCUUCGGCCACCGCACCGUGUCGCUUCUCGACGGCGGCCUCCGCAACUGGUUGCGCCAGGGCCUGCCGCUGAGCGCGGGCAAGAGCCGCCCGGAGCCCGCAGAGUUCCACGCGGUGCUGGACCCCGCCUACGUCAAGACGUACGAGGACAUCAAGGAGAACCUCGAAUCCCGGCGCUUCCAGGUGGUGGACGCCCGCGCCGCUGGCCGCUUCCGGGGCACCGAGCCCGAGCCCCGAGAAGGCAUCGAACCCGGCCACAUCCCUGGCACUAUCAACAUCCCCUUCACGGAAUUCCUGACCAAGGAGGGCUUGGAGAAGAGCCCCGAGGAGAUCCGCCUCCUCUUCCAGGACAAGAAGGUGGACCUGUCCCAGCCCCUGGUGGCCACGUGCGGCUCUGGCGUCACAGCCUGUCAUGUGGCACUGGGGGCCUACCUCUGCGGCAAGCCCGAUGUGCCCCUCUAUGACGGCUCCUGGGUGGAGUGGUACAUGCGCGCCCAGCCCGAGGAUGUCAUCUCCGAGGGCCGGGGGAAGACCCACUGAGGCUUGGCGGGACACAGGAAGCUCGGGUGACACCCAGCCACCAGCAGUGCCCAGCCUGGUGGUUCUGACUCUGCUUUGACCAGUAUAGGGUUUCUUCCUCCAACCCAGGUGGCGCAUAGGGUGACAUCCCAGAGGCCGGCAGUUCCGCUGCCUUGCGGGCUCUCAGUGGAGGCAGCAGAGAAGGUGGUGGCGGGAGCAGGGGGAGGGGAGCUGCCCACGUGGUGCUGAGCUGGAGCCCCACCUCCCCUCUGUUGAGGAAAUAAAACAGUCAAGUGCUAAAUCCUUCUAACUGAGGCUGCCUCAGCUUUCCUCGGCUCUUUGGUCAGUGGUUCCAACAUGCCCAGCGAGGGAGCUUCGUGGAGCCGGAGGGUCUUGAGGACGCUGUCCCUGCCUUCUGAGCGGUGCUGGGGUCCCAGAGCCCUUCCAGUUCUGUGACUGAAUGUCUCCCAGCGAACUGUCUUCUACUUCUACUUCUAUGGCUGGGGUCUCCCUUCUGGCUUCUGGGCUAUUUAAGGUACAUCUGCUGUGCUCUGUCUGGAAUCACACCCAAACCCCCCCUGCAGGACUCUAUAAAAGAUGCACUUCCCUGGCGGUCCAGUGGUUAAGACUCUGCGCUCCCAAUGCAGGGGGACCAGGUUCGAUCCCUGGUCAGGGGACUAGAUCCUGCAUGCCACAGCUAAGAGCCCUCAUGCCGCAACUAAAGAUCCCGCAGACCACAAUGAAGAUCUCGCGUGCUGUAACUAAGACCCGGCGCAGCCAAAUAAAUAAAUAAUUUUUUUUUAAA
Molecule: RNA transcript, 1828 nt
Organism: Physeter macrocephalus (sperm whale)
Lineage: Eukaryota; Metazoa; Chordata; Mammalia; Artiodactyla; Physeteridae
Gene: MPST
Gene name: mercaptopyruvate sulfurtransferase
Exons: 4
Source: RefSeq, a predicted model, not a curated record